UCCGGUUCUUCACCAGCAGUCCCCCUGGAGUCCCCGCCAUUACGCGUUGGCAACUAGGGGCAAGGGUUGCGCUCGUUACGGGACUUAACCCAACAUCUCACGACACGAGCUGACGACAGCCAUGCACCACCUGUGCACAGGCCCCGAAGGGCUGCCGUAUUUCUACGACAUUCCUGUGCAUGUCAAGCCUUGGUAAGGUUCUUCGCGUCGCGCCGAAUUAAACCACAUGCUCCGCUGCUUGUGCGGGCCCCCGUCAAUUCCUUUGAGUUUCAGCCUUGCGGCCGUACUCCCCAGGCGGGGUGCUUAAUGCGUUAGCUUCGGCACGGAAGGGGUCGAUAUCCCCCCACACCUAGCACCCAUCGUUUACGGCUGGGACUAC
Molecule: unclassified non-coding RNA, 379 nt
Filed under: uncultured Gaiellales bacterium
Lineage: Bacteria; Bacillati; Actinomycetota; Thermoleophilia; Gaiellales
Description: contains 16S-23S intergenic spacer region
Source: RNAcentral